This 497-nucleotide ribosomal RNA is filed under the name uncultured bacterium. Its description in RNAcentral is "partial 16S ribosomal RNA". It matches the Rfam family "Bacterial small subunit ribosomal RNA", at positions 28 to 507 of the family's 1533-position model. The record is from RNAcentral.
GAUGAACGCUGGCGGCGUGCCUAAUACAUGCAAGUCGAGCGAACAGACGAGGAGCUUGCUUCUCUGAUGUUAGCGGCGGACGGGUAAGUAACACGUGGAUAACCUACCUAUAAGACUGGGAUAACUUCGGGAAACCGGAGCUAAUACCGGAUAAUAUAUUGAACCGCAUGGUUCAAUAGUGAAAGACGGUCUUGCUGUCACUUAUAGAUGGAUCCGCGCUGCAUUAGCUAGUUGGUAAGGUAACGGCUUACCAAGGCAACGAUGCGUAGCCGACCUGAGAGGGUGAUCGGCCACACUGGAACUGAGACACGGUCCAGACUCCUACGGGAGGCAGCAGUAGGGAAUCUUCCGCAAUGGGCGAAAGCCUGACGGAGCAACGCCGCGUGAGUGAUGAAGGUCUUCGGAUCGUAAAACUCUGUUAUUAGGGAAGAACAAAUGUGUAAGUAACUAUGCACGUCUUGACGGUACCUAAUCAGAAAGCCACGGCUAACUACGUG